GAGCACGCCGCGUGAGUGAUGAAGGGUUUCGGCUCGUAAAACUCUGUUAUUAGGGAAGAACAUAUGUGUAAGUAACUGUGCACAUCUUGACGGUACCUAAUCAGAAAGCCACGGCUAACUACGUGCCAGCAGCCGCGGUAAUACGUAGGUGGCAAGCGUUAUCCGGAAUUAUUGGGCGUAAAGCGCGCGUAGGCGGUUUCUUAAGUCUGAUGUGAAAGCCCACGGCUCAACCGUGGAGGGUCAUUGGAAACUGGGAAACUUGAGUGCAGAAGAGGAAAGUGGAAUUCCAUGUGUAGCGGUGAAAUGCGCAGAGAUAUGGAGGAACACCAGUGGCGAAGGCGACUUUCUGGUCUGUAACUGACGCUGAUGUGCGAAAGCGUGGGGAUCAAACAGGAUUAGAUACCCC
RNAcentral lists this ribosomal RNA (406 nucleotides) under Staphylococcus sp. RNAcentral describes it as "bacterial SSU rRNA". It matches the Rfam family "Bacterial small subunit ribosomal RNA", at positions 389 to 788 of the family's 1533-position model. Lineage: Bacteria; Bacillati; Bacillota; Bacilli; Caryophanales; Staphylococcaceae. The record is from RNAcentral.